UAAAUAGAAGUUCGCUGGAUUAAACGCUUAGCUGUUAACUAAUAUUUUGUAGGAUCAAGGCCUACCUAUUUAG
This 73-nucleotide transfer RNA is filed under the name Halaelurus buergeri (blackspotted catshark). RNAcentral's name for it is "tRNA-Asn". The record is from RNAcentral. Lineage: Eukaryota; Metazoa; Chordata; Chondrichthyes; Carcharhiniformes; Scyliorhinidae.